GACGAACGCUGGCGGCGUGCCUAAUACAUGCAAGUCGAACGCUUAGUUCCUCCCGAGUGCUUGCACUCAAUAGGAAAGGGGAGGGGCGGACGGGUGAGUAAAACGUGGGUAACCUACCCAACAGAGGGGGAAAACACUUGGAAACAGGGGCUAAUACCGCAUAACAGUUUAUGCCGCAGGGCAUGAGAGUGAAAGGCGCUCUCGGGGGUCGAUGAGGGAUGGAUCCGCGGUGCAUUAGCUAGUUGGUGAGGUAACGGCUCACCAAGGCCACGAUGCGUAGCCGACCUGAGAGGGUGAUCGGCCACACUGGAACUGAGACACGGCCCAGACUCCUACGGGAGGCAGCAGUAGGGAAUCUUCGGCAAUGGGCGAAAGUCUGACCGAGCAACGCCGCGUGAGUGAAGAAGGUUUUCGGAUCGUAAAACUCUGUUGUUAGGGAAGAACAAGUACGUUAGUAACUGUACGUCCCCUGACGGUAUCUAACCAGAAAGCCACGGCUAACUACGUG
RNAcentral lists this ribosomal RNA (508 nucleotides) under uncultured bacterium. Its description in RNAcentral is "partial 16S ribosomal RNA". It matches the Rfam family "Bacterial small subunit ribosomal RNA", at positions 28 to 507 of the family's 1533-position model. The record is from RNAcentral.